This 473-nucleotide long non-coding RNA is filed under the name Salmo salar (Atlantic salmon). Its description in RNAcentral is "lncRNA (ENSSSAG00000088024.1)". Lineage: Eukaryota; Metazoa; Chordata; Actinopteri; Salmoniformes; Salmonidae. The record is from RNAcentral.
ACCAGUACUGAGUCGAUGUACAGGGGUACGAGGUAAUAACAAGGCUAUAUACAGUACCAGUACUGAGGCGUUGUACAGGGGUACGAGGUAAUAACAAGGCUAUAUACAGUACCAGUACUGAGUCGAUGUGCAGGGGUACAAGGUAAUAACAAGGCUAUAUACAGUACCAGUACUGAGGCGUUGUACAGGGGUACGAGGUAAUAACAAGGCUAUAUACAGUACCAGUACUGAGUCGAUGUACAGGGGUACGAGGUAAUAACAAGGCUAUGUACCAGUACUGAGUCGAUGUGCAGGGGUACGAGGUAAUGAGGCUAUAUACAGUACCAGUACUGAGUCGCUGUGCAGGGGUACGAGGUAAUAACAAGGCUAUAUACAGUACCAGUACUGAGUCGAUGUACAACGAGGUAAUGAGGUAAUAACAUGGCUAUAAGGCCCAGUACUGAGUCGAUGUGCAGGGGUACGAGGUAACAACA